GACGAACGCUGGCGGCGUGCUUAACACAUGCAAGUCGAACGGAAAGGCCCUGCUUUUGUGGGGUGCUCGAGUGGCGAACGGGUGAGUAACACGUGAGUAACCUGCCCUUGACUUUGGGAUAACUUCAGGAAACUGGGGCUAAUACCGGAUAGGAGCUCCUGCUGCAUGGUGGGGGUUGGAAAGUUUCGGCGGUUGGGGAUGGACUCGCGGCUUAUCAGCUUGUUGGUGGGGUAGUGGCUUACCAAGGCUUUGACGGGUAGCCGGCCUGAGAGGGUGACCGGCCACAAUGGGAAUGGGGUACGGCCCAGACUCCUACGGGGGGCAAGAGGGGGGGAUAAUGCACAAUGGGCGGAAGGCUGAUGCAGGAACGGCGGGGGGGGGAUGACGGCCUUCGGGUUGGAAACCGCCUUCGCCUGGGACGGAGGGUGGGGUACGGUAAAGGGGAAAGGAGCACCGGCUAACUACGGG
This 468-nucleotide ribosomal RNA is filed under the name uncultured bacterium. Its description in RNAcentral is "partial 16S ribosomal RNA". It matches the Rfam family "Bacterial small subunit ribosomal RNA", at positions 28 to 507 of the family's 1533-position model. The record is from RNAcentral.